Molecule: ribosomal RNA, 490 nt
Filed under: uncultured bacterium
Lineage: Bacteria
Description: partial 16S ribosomal RNA
Rfam family: Bacterial small subunit ribosomal RNA
Source: RNAcentral
AUUGAACGCUGGCGGCAGGCCUAACACAUGCCAGUCGAACGGUAACAUGAAGCAGCUUGCUGCUUCGCUGACGAGUGGCGGACGGGUGAGUAAUGUCUGGGAAGCUGCCUGAUGGAGGGGGAUAACUACUGGAAACGGUAGCUAAUACCGCAUAAUGUCGCAAGACCAAAGAGGGGGACCUUCGGGCCUCUUGCCAUCGGAUGUGCCCAGGUGGGAUUAGCUUGUUGGUGGGGUAACGGCUCACCAAGGCGACGAUCCCUAGCUGGUCUGAGAGGGUGACCAGCCACACUGGGACUGAGACACGGUCCAGACUCCUACGGGAGGCAGCAGUGGGGAAUAUUGCACAAUGGGCGAAAGCCUGAUGCAGCCAUGCCGCGUGUAUGAAGAAGGCCUUCGGGUUGUAAAGUACUUUCAGCGGGGAGGAAGGGAGUAAAGUUAAUACCUUUGCUCAUUGACGUUACCCGCAGAAGAAGCACCGGCUAACUCCGUG